Molecule: long non-coding RNA, 130 nt
Organism: Maniola jurtina (meadow brown)
Lineage: Eukaryota; Metazoa; Arthropoda; Insecta; Lepidoptera; Nymphalidae
Exons: 3
Source: RefSeq, a predicted model, not a curated record
AAAAAUACGAUUUAGGGGCUGAUUCAAACGACAUGUGUCAUAUACAACCUUUAUGCGAUGCAUUAAGGUUGGGAGUGACACAUGACGUCUGAAUCGUCCUCUAAAGUAGAAGCCUUUAUAAUGACUAUGA